AAAAACAUGGCCUUUUGAUGUGAAUUUAAGGUUUGACCUGCUCAAUGAGUUUUAAAUAGCCGCAGUAUCUUAACUGUGCAAAGGUAGCAUAAUCAAUAGUUUUUUAAUUUAAAGCUGGAAUGAAGGGUUGAAUGAAAAAAAAGCUGUCUCUAUGAAAAUUUUGUAGAAAUUUAUUUUUGAGUUAAAAAGCUUAAAUAUAAAUGAAAGACGAGAAGACCCUAUAGAGUUUUAUAUUUAUAGAUUAUAUUAUUUUUAGUAUUUUAAAAUUUAUUUACUUAUAAUAUUUGAUUGGGGUGAUUAGAAAAUUAAAUAAACUUUUCUUUAAUAAAACAUUUAUUUAUGAGAAAAUGAUCCUUUUUUUAGAUUAUUAGAUAAAAUUACCUUAGGGAUAACAGCGUAAUUUUUUUUGAGAGUUCUUAUCGAAAAAAAAGAUUGCGACCUCGAUGUUGGAUUAAAAUAAAUUUUUGGUGUAGAAGCUAAAUUCAAUUAGGUCUGUUCGACCUUUAAAAUUUUACUUGAUCUGAGUU
This 527-nucleotide ribosomal RNA is filed under the name Mogulones abbreviatulus. Its description in RNAcentral is "partial 16S ribosomal RNA". It matches the Rfam family "Bacterial large subunit ribosomal RNA", at positions 1809 to 2611 of the family's 2925-position model. The record is from RNAcentral. Lineage: Eukaryota; Metazoa; Arthropoda; Insecta; Coleoptera; Curculionidae.